GAUGAACGCUGGCGGCGUGCCUAAUACAUGCAAGUCGAGCGAAUGGAUUGAGAGCUUGCUCUUAUGAAGUUAGCGGCGGACGGGUGAGUAACACGUGGGUAACCUGCCCAUAAGACUGGGAUAACUCUGGGAAACCGGGGCUAAUACCGGAUAACAUUUUGAACCGCAUGGUUCGAAAUUGAAAGGCGGCUUCGGCUGUCACUUAUGGAUGGACCCGCGUCGCAUUAGCUAGUUGGUGAGGUAACGGCUCACCAAGGCAACGAUGCGUAGCCGAACUGAGAGGGGGAUCGGCCACACUGGGACUGAGACACGGCCCAGACUCCUACGGGAGGCAGCAGUAGGGAAUCUUCCGCAAUGGACGAAAGUCUGACGGAGCAACGCCGCGUGAGUGAUGAAGGCUUUCGGGUCGUAAAACUCUGUUGUUAGGGAAGAACAAGUGCUAGUUGAAUAAGCUGGCACCUUGACGGUACCUAACCAGAAAGCCACGGCUAACUACGUGCCAGCCGCCGCAGUAA
This 515-nucleotide ribosomal RNA is filed under the name uncultured bacterium. Its description in RNAcentral is "partial 16S ribosomal RNA". It matches the Rfam family "Bacterial small subunit ribosomal RNA", at positions 28 to 523 of the family's 1533-position model. The record is from RNAcentral.